This 28-nucleotide non-coding RNA is filed under the name Homo sapiens (human). Lineage: Eukaryota; Metazoa; Chordata; Mammalia; Primates; Hominidae. The record is from RNAcentral.
UGGUAAUGGAUGACAGAAGUGAACAGGG